This 442-nucleotide ribosomal RNA is filed under the name uncultured bacterium. RNAcentral describes it as "partial 16S ribosomal RNA". It matches the Rfam family "Bacterial small subunit ribosomal RNA", at positions 338 to 795 of the family's 1533-position model. The record is from RNAcentral.
CCUACGGGGGGCAGCAGUGGGGAAUAUUGGGCAAUGGGCGCAAGCCUGACCCAGCAACGCCGCGUGAAGGAAGACGGCUCUCGGGUUGUAAACCUCCUUUGUUAGGGAAGAGUAGAAGACGGUACCUGACGAAUAAGCCACGGCUAACUACGUGCCAGCAGCCGCGGUAAUACGUAGGUGGCAAGCGUUGUCCGGAUUUACUGGGUGUAAAGGGCGUGUAGCCGGGUUGACAAGUCAGAUGUGAAAUCCUGCGGCUUAACCGCAGAACUGCAGUUGAAACUGUUGAUCUUGAGUACUGGAGAGGCAGAUGGAAUUCCUAGUGUAGCGGUGAAAUGCGUAGAUAUUAGGAAGAACACCAGUGGCGAAGGCAGUCUGCUGGACAGCAACUGACGGUGAGGCGCGAAAGCGUGGGGAGCGAACAGGAUUAGAUACCCCAGUAGUC